CGAGGAUGGGCACCAAGAGUGUUGCCGGGUUAGGAAAGUGAGGCCAUUGAGGAGAGCACUCAAAGGGUUACAUGCUUGGAUUACCGGUCAGAGGAAAGAUCAAUCUCCAGGGACUAGAUCGGAGGUUCCUGUUGUUCAAGUGGAUCCUGUUUUUGAAGGAUUGGAUGGUGGGAUUGGUAGCUUAGUGAAGUGGAACCCAGUCGCCAAUGUUGAUGGUAAAGACAUGUGGAAUUUUCUUCGGGCGAUGAAUGUGCCUGUCAAUACUUUGCAUUCCCAAGGAUAUGUGUCUAUUGGCUGCGAGCCGUGCACUAGGCCAGUUCUACCGGGCCAACAUGAGAGGGAAGG
RNAcentral lists this long non-coding RNA (345 nucleotides) under Gossypium barbadense (sea-island cotton). Its description in RNAcentral is "long non-coding RNA (GBAR_LNC005667)". The record is from RNAcentral. Lineage: Eukaryota; Viridiplantae; Streptophyta; Magnoliopsida; Malvales; Malvaceae.